UUGAAAGGGAAACGAUUGAAGUCAGNCAUGCUGGCGGGAAUCAACUUAGGGGNNNNNNNNNNNCNCUUCUUCGCUUGGNGGUUAGCGUCGAUUUUGGAUGUCAUAAAAUGACUAGGGGAAGGUAGCUCUUUCGGGAGUGUUAAGCCCUUAGUAUAUGUGAUGUCUGGGAUCGAGGAUUGCAACGGAUACCUUUUGGGCUAGCCGUCUAGUCUCUAAUACGAAGUUGGGUUAUGGACAGCAUGCUGACUGUGAUCUGAUUUUCGGUUAAAAGAUUAGAGCAAGUGUAAAUUCGUUAAGGAUGUUGACGUA
This 309-nucleotide ribosomal RNA is filed under the name uncultured Glomeromycotina. RNAcentral describes it as "partial large subunit ribosomal RNA". Lineage: Eukaryota; Fungi; Glomeromycota. The record is from RNAcentral.